GUGCUUGCUUCAGCAGUUCAUGUACUAAAACUGGAAAGAUGCAGAGAAGAUUGGCAUGGCCCCUGCAGAAAGAUAACACCCAAAUUCCUCAAGCAUCCCAAAUUCUG
Phyllostomus hastatus (greater spear-nosed bat) is the source of this 107-nucleotide small nuclear RNA. The record is from RefSeq and is a predicted model, not a curated record. NCBI's taxonomy places the organism in Eukaryota, Metazoa, Chordata, Mammalia, Chiroptera, Phyllostomidae.